GAAAUAAUCAUGUGAUUUUUGUCUUUUGUUAAUGUGGUGUAUCAUGUUGAUUUGCAGAUGUUGAACCAUCCUUGCAUCACUAGAAUAAAACCCACUUGAUCAUUAGUAAAGGUCCUUUUAAUAUAUUAUUACAUUUGGCUUGAUAUUUUGUUGAAGACUUUUGUAUCUAUGUUCAUGAGGUAAAUUGGCCUAUAACUUUUUUUUUUUUUUUUUAAUGGUGUCUUUCAUUUUGGUCCUCAGUUUAUGCUGGCCUCGUAAAAUGAAUUUGGAAGCACUCCUUCAAGUUUUUGGAAUAAUUUGAGAAGAACAGGACUGGCGAGUGUGCAUGCAGGCCUCAGUGCUAUUCCUCCCUGCUGCUGGCCAGCACUUGGGGGUGAGGAAGGUGUCCCUCUAGCAUCGUGCAGAAGCUGUUCCAUCAGCCCUCAGUGGUGCAGGAGGAGCUGCUCUCUAUGUAGGUGCAGACUCCGCAUGGCCAGCGGAGGAGGGGAGUUCAGGGUCUUCGGCGCCUGUCUUAGAACACCUCCCUGUGCUACUCAGGGCAGAGCUUUCUGUCCGCCUCUGAUCAGGUGUCAACGUUUUAAAUCUUGUUACUCAAGACAUUAGCCAGAGAAGAUAACUAAUCACACUGUUGCCACUUAAUGCGGUCAAAUUAAAGGACCAUGAACAAAGUACUAAAUUUUGGUGACAAACCAGCCCAAACAAGUAGACAAGUUAACUUUUCAGGGAGUUUUUAUUUACAAAAGUAUGGAUCGGAAGACCACAGGCUGCAGCAGGGGACUGAGCCUUCUAUUCGGCAUGUUUUAGUCGGCUGGCUUCAUUUCCGGUCAAGGAGCUUCUCUAAUUGAUGGUUGAUGUUUUGCAGAUGGGUCUCAGCUCCUAAAAGGGUUCUUGCCUGAACUAACAGAGCUGGAAGGCUGGAUGAAUCAUACUGUCAAAGGCAAAUUAUUUGGAUUAAGUAUAACAAACUUUUAUAACCCUGUUAUACAGCUCCAUGCUGAAUAGAGCUUUCCACUACUAUCAUUUUUCAAACGAGGACCGUUAUGAUCAUUGGUUUAAUCCUUUUCCUUAGGGCAUAAUUAGUAAGGUUACAAGGGACCCCUCUCUAGAAAGUUUUAGGCUGAUCUAGUUCCAAGAACUGUGGCAUCUAAAUCAUGUACAACAAAAUCACUUCCUGGUACAUAUUGAGACUGGGUUUGGGCAAGUUUGCUUGAGCUCAUGCCGGUUUUAAAUCCAGAAAACUGUAAGGCAGAUGGACUUUUCCUGGAAGAACUAAUGGAAUGAAAAUACCAGGCCCAUAAAAGUUCAUGAGGGAAAAAUUAAUCAUGUAGAAAAACUAGACAACCCAACAUAAACUCGUGAUUUUGAAAUGACAAAGCCAGGCUCCAUGUUGUAACUUGUAUCUAAGGAUGAGUGACUGAAGUCCUCUUCCAGUCUGUCAUACUUAUGACAGUUUGUUUAAAAUCACGUUUUCAAGGGGUUUUUCUUAGUAAUGAAAAGAGCAGCUUUGAGCAGAAAAGCCAUCAGACGAUUGCUACCACCCACCUAAUAAUGCAGUUGUUUCUAGACUAUCACGUACCCUAUUACUGGGGAAUUCAAUUUCACAGUUAUUUGAGAGCCUGCUGUGUUCAAGCUACCAUGGGGCGCCUGCUCUCAGGGAGGCGAGAGGGGAAGAACUAACAUUUGGUGUUAGAUUUCUGGUUUAGGAAAAGAAGUAGGACAUAAACCCAAAUACCUACUUUCCCUGAAGGAAGACAGAUGCUGCAAGAGUACAGAAGGCCCGUGGGGCAAACACAGGACAGGUUAGUACACUCGUGUAUUCCAAGCCAAGUACAGUUGCCACAUCUGUUUUCACCAGUUAUGCUCAAAUUCAGUGCUCAGGAUGUCUCCAAGUUAGUAACCAAAUCCCCAACUCCAAGCAAGCU
Lynx canadensis (Canada lynx) is the source of this 1922-nucleotide long non-coding RNA. RefSeq lists it as uncharacterized. The record is from RefSeq and is a predicted model, not a curated record. The transcript has 2 exons. NCBI's taxonomy places the organism in Eukaryota, Metazoa, Chordata, Mammalia, Carnivora, Felidae.